This is a non-coding RNA of Oryctolagus cuniculus (rabbit), 32402 nucleotides long. Lineage: Eukaryota; Metazoa; Chordata; Mammalia; Lagomorpha; Leporidae. The record is from RefSeq and is a predicted model, not a curated record.
GGCUGGAGCUGUGCUGGUCCAAAGCCAGAAGCCAGGAGCUUCUUCCAGGUCUUCCAUGUGAGUGCACGGGCCUAAGGUCUUGGGCCAUCUUCUACUGCUCUCCCAGGCCAUAGCAGAGAGCUGGAUCAGAAGUGGAGCAGCCAGGACUUGAACCGGCACCCACAUGGGAUGCCAGCACUGCAGGCGGCGGCUUUACCUGCUACGCUACAGUGCCGGCCUCUUGUGUACCUCUUUCAUUGUUUCUGGCUCUGAAAUUGGAGAUUCUUUGGAGUCUGGGGGAAGAAACCUCAGAGAGCAAGCUUAGGGGUGGGGUGAAGCAGCUCAUCAUCCCGCUUCAUUUUGCUAAUUCUGACAUCCUUCGUGAUUACCUUAGUAACAAGGCUGUGAAAAUACGAUUGGGGCGCAGGUGUUUGGCACAGAUGUUCAGAUGCCACCUGCGAUGCCCACAUCCCAUAUCAGAGUGUCUGGUUCAAGUUUCAGCUCUGCUUCCGACUCCCACUUCCUGCCAGUUUGCACCAUGGGAGGUAGUAGGUGAUGGCUCAAGUACUUAAGUCCCAGCUGCCUAUGUGGGAAACCAGGAUUGAAUUUCCUGCUCCUGGCUUCUGUCUGGUCCAGCCCUGGAUGUUGUGGACAUUUGGGAAAUGUGCCUGUGUCUUUCUGUUUCUCUGGCUCUCUGCCUUUCAAAUAAAUAAAAAUACAUUUUUGAAAAUAUGGCUGGGAAGGUGCCCCUUGGGAGCACCUGAAUGGAAAGACGUCUGACUCCCUCGCUGUCUCCCGUACAACCUAACCACAACUCCCCAAGCUAUGCCUCUACAGAAGGAGCUUUGCUGACUGUCUAAUACCUUUUUACUCACUCCCUCACAUCUGGAGACCCAACAGAGGAUCUUUGUUCUUUUUCAUUGCUCCCAUGGCCUUGACAGAAAACCCUGCUUUCAGGAUCGAGACCUAUUCUUGUUGACCUUUAUGGGUGAGUCCCCUCUCCCCAUAGAUUUCAGUAAAUCCUUUUAUGAGAGCCAGACUGAGUGAAGCCUACCAUCCCAGUGGUAAGGUAAGGACAGACACCUUGCUAGGUGACUUGUGUAGCUACCCUUGGGCAAACACUGACUUGAAUGUUAAGCAGUUUAUUUUCUGGUGGGGUGGGAGAAAGAUCCAAGAAAGCCAAUUCGCAGUUUCAAAAAAAUACAGACACUAUUUGUGUACUUUUCUUUAGAUGCUUACCUUUUUUUUUUUUUUUGCUAACCAUAUGAUUCCAUUUAUAUAAAGUUCAUGAAAAGGUAAAACAAACUCAUUGAUGGAAAUCAGGACACUGACUGCCUUUCAGGGACCAGUGGGGGACACUUGACAGAACAGUGGCUUAAGGGAAGCUUCCAUCAUGGUAGAAACCCAUAUCUUAUUUUUUAAACAAUAAAUUUUAGGGGGUAUCAUUGUGGCACAGCGCAUUAAGCUUCCACUUGUGACACCAGCAUUGAGUCCCAGCUGCUCUGCUUCCAAUCCAACUCCCUGCUAAUGUGCCUGGGAGUGCAGCAGGUAAUGGCCCAAGUACUUAGACCUCUGCCACCCACUUGGGAGACCUGAAUUGAGUUUCCAGCUCCUGGCUUUGGCCUGGCCCAGCACUGGCUGAUACAGCCAUUUGUGGAGUGAACCAUUGAAAGGAAGAUCUCUCUUUCUCUCUCUCUCUCUUUUUUUUGACAGGCAGAGUGGAUAGUGAGAGAGAGAGACAGAGAGAAAGGUCUUCCUUUGCCGUUGGUUCACCCUCCAAUGGCCGCCGCGGCCAGUGCGCUGCAGCCGGCGCACCGCGCUGAUCCAAUGGCAGGAGCCAGGUACUUCUCCUGGUCUCCCAUGGGGUGCAGGGCCCAAGCACUUGGGCCAUCCUCCACUGCACUCCCUGGCCACAGCAGAGAGCUGGCCUGGAAGAGGGGCAACUGGGACAGAAUCCGGUGCCCCAACCGGGACUAGAACCUGGUGUGCCGGCGCUGCAAGGCAGAGGAUUAGCCUAGUGAGCCGCGGCACCAGCCCUCUCUUUUUUUGUCUCUCUCUGUAUACCCCUCUCUCUGUCACUGUUCUUUUCCAAUAAAUAAAUAAAUCUCUUAAAAUUAAUGAAUUUUUAAAAUCAAUAUGAUAAUUACCCUGAUUUGAUCAUUACACAAUGCAUACAUGUAUGGAAACAUCACAUUGGGCCAAGUAAAUAUGUAUAAUUAUUAGAUGGUUAUCAUUUUUAAUCAAAUAGCUUCAUGGUCAACCACUAAAACCUCUGUGACCACACCAAAGUGACAAAGUCAAUCAACCCUCCCUUGGCCCAUCUGCCCUAAAGGAACAAAGAUCUUGUCUUCUGGGGAUGAUUUCGUGAAUCCCAAGUCAUCCUGGCAAGGAGGCCACUAGAGAGGACUCAGAGGGCACUUUUUUGGCAGCAGCAGUAUUUCUGUGGCUGAUCUCUUUUAACACACAAAAGCUCAUGGCUAAUAGAUGUGUCAGAGCUUUCUGGAAGCACGUCCUGCCAUAUGUGUGUUCUGCAGCUCUCACAAAAAAAAAGAAAAGAAAAGAAAAUAAGAGAAGAAAAGAAAAGAAAAUCAGUCUUAUGUGGCUUCCAAGAAAAAGGUUUUUUUUUCUCCUUUUUGUUUGUCACUCAUCUGAAUCUCAGAAUCAGCCAGGAGCAGGGGAGCAGAUGACUUUUGAAAGAAUUGUCGCCCUCUUCCCACAUAUUCAGACACCAGCAUGUGCAGAAGAGAAAGUACUGUUUGUCUUACUGGGUCACAGUUGGGACCUUUCACUGAACUGGAGUAUCCUGUGUUGUAGCCAAUAUUAUGACGUCAAGUUGCCCCCAGUGAUAAGCCUCAAAAACUGGAUUGACAGAACUCUGCUCUGGUAGAAUAGAGAUUAUCCCAGAAAGAUAAGAAACCACUGUACCCCACACGAAAGAUGUGAGUGAUUUAAAAAUACAUACUCCUAUAUAACAGAUGCAUGUAAGUAGUAUCCAUGUAUGCACACACAUACAUGCACACACAUGCACACACAUACUCUCAAACACACACCAUGCCUAAUGCAGAGGUUGUAGAUAGAGGCUCGUUGCUCAGCUACAUCAUGAGUGUAAUGUCUAUUUAUACUCCUUCCUGCUUGGCUGGGUAAGUCUCAUUUGUCUUCUUAACCAUCUUGAAAACAGAUUUGGCCUCUUUCUGAGUUAAAGUUUUUGAACUUUUUAGUACCUCCGUAUAAAUCAACUGACCAACUUCCAAAGACAGUUUCAUCUUCGGGGGGAAGGAAAAGGAAUACACAGAAACGUGGGGAGGCCGGGAGGGUUUCCCGGGGCCUGUGGCUCAGCGUUAGCUCAGUUCUGAGAAUGCACAUUUAGGAAACAAGCAAUGCGCCAGAUGGGCCACUGUGGCUUCCUCUUCUUUCUCCUGUUUUCUUGAGGUCCACUGUCUUUGGAAUGAACAUCUGCCUGUCUCAGGGGACUGUGAAAUGAGCAAAAACAGAGCCAUAGUGACAACAGGAGGAGAUUUGGAGUUAAUACGUCUUUGGAGCCAAAACAUUCAGCUUCAUUAAGCAUAAUCUGAUUAACACUGGAUGUAAUUUAAUGAGGAUGUGGACAAAGGAGGGAAAAAAUAAAGUUCCUCAUUGUGAAGGAAAGAUCACUCCAUGUUAGACUCUGGAACUAAGAUUAUGAGGGAAACUUUGGAAACUUGUAUGAGCCAAGGAGAUUUCUUAGAUUUGUCUUCUAUUUCCACACACAGACUUACUCAGUGAUAUAAAACAACUAUGGAAUUUAAUGCAAACUGCUACAUUUGGCUUCUACUGAAAAACAAGUUCAAGUCCUACACUCUUUCUAAGAUUUUAUUUAUUUAUCUGAGAGGUAGAGUUAUAGAGAAUGAGAGGGAAAUUCAGAGAAAGGUCUUCCAUCUGCUGGUUCAUUCCCCAAAUGGCUGCAACAGCCUGAGCUGAGCUGAUCUGAAACCAGGAACCAGGAGGUUCCUCCAUGUUUCCCACGCAGGUACAAGAACCCAAGCAUUUGGGCCAUCCUCUACUGCUUUCCCAGGCCAUAGCAGAGAGCUGGAUUGAAGAGGAGCAGCUGGGACUUGAACCGGUGCCCAUAAGGGAUGACGGCACAGGAGGUGAAGGAUUAAUCCACUGUACCACAAUGCCAGCCCCCAAAUCCUACACUCUUGACAUAUAAAAUAUGAGGUCUGAUUACAAGCUAAAUAUAAAAAAUUUCCUCUUCCUCCUCCUCCUUCUUCCUUCUGCUUCUCCUUUUUUUAAAAAAUUUAUCCUGUAAAUAUUUAUUGGGAGCUUAAUAGGUACCAGCUACUUUGCCAGGCACUGAGAAUUCAAAGACAAGUAAGACUCAGUCCGGCCAUGGCCUCGAGGAGGAAGGGGAAGUCAGACAAGGACUCAUAUAAGGUCAUUGAAGACCAAGUUCCAGGAAAGGACUCUUGCAGACUUUUCCAUAGAUUUGAGAGUUGGGGUUCCCCAAGAGAGUGAUCCAAGAGACACAGCAAGCGAGACGGAAGCUACAGUCUUUUAUAACUUGUCUCAGAAGUGGCAUACUGUCACAUGUGCCGUAUUCUGUUGCUCUUACAUGGCAGCUCUGGAGCAAUGUGGGCGGGACCAACACAGAGAAUGAGUGCCAGGAUUGACGGCUCGCUGGGAUCCAUCUGGGAGACUGGUAACCACGGUUCUCUAGAGACAGACAGAGGCCAGGAGUUGAAUAAGACAGUACCGAUUUUUUAUUAAUGGAGCCACCACCCAAGAACCUCAUUUCAAGUUUAAAUUGAAAACUAACAGAAGCCUGUGGUUUAGGUUUCGAGACCUAUGCAGAACCUGCUAUUCCUUCCCAAAAUUGUAUCUUGGAGUUUUACAAGAAUGUGUGGAGGCAAGGUGACAAAGUGACAGAGAACAUGUGAUUUAUUUUUCAAUAGAUACUUGCUUGGAGGAGGUGGAUAGUAAGAGAGAAGGCUAAGUCUGUUUGUUUGUCCAACUGCUGCCAACAGGAAAGAAAGCCAACCAUUUCUAGGUAUGGCAACCCGCCUGCUAAUUACAAGUUUCUAUCUCUAGUGACCAAUCAGAUCAGCAACUCCUUUGACCUUGGCGUCAGGGUAGGAAGGCUAGGAGGAGGUAAGAAAUCAUUAAAAAUUCCUUUCUCCUGUACAGAGCCUCUGAUCACUCGCGUAUUCAGAGGAGGAAGUGGGAGCUACAGAGUGGUCAACUGAAGUUUAGCGAGGCCUGUUUCCAAGAAGCCAGGAAUGAAAAUCCCAACUUUGAAAUUCAGCCACAGUGGUCACAUCAGGUCAAAGACACACAAUUGCCGCUGAACUUGUGAUGAACUCCAAAUUUAUUUUCUAGGCAUUUCUUCUAUGCCACAGGCAUGUAGAUCAUAAAUUAAUAUAACUAAAGAUACACACUGAAGGAAAAGACACAUGAGAAGGAAGUUGGAGUCGUUUAUUGCUGCCUGCUCUUCGCAGAGGUAAGAAAACACACUACUAGUUAAUGGUUGGGAAUGGAGCCAAGGUCAUUUUUACCCCAGUUUGGUGCUUUUUUGUCUGCGGUACUGGGAUGGGUUACUAAAUAUAAUUAUUUUUCUUUAAUGAAAAUACUCGAGUUUGGGAACUUUUUAAAAGAAAAAGUUUGUUUAGCUCGCAGAUCUGGAGGUUGCAGGACAUGCCUCUGGCGCUGGCUCGGGUUUGGGAAUGGUCUCAGGCAGAGGGCGCACGAGGGCAGGGGUGUGUCCUGGAGCGAGACAGACACCGGCCCGUGACUCGGGGGUCUGGCUCACCCCGCAACAGUUCACUCUCUGGAGAACUAACCCAGGGUCCCCUAAAACUACCUGAAUCCCUUCUGAGGGGAGUGCUUCUAAUCACCUAAGAACCUCCACUAAGUUCCACCACUGAGAAGCCCAAAUAAAUUUUAUUUUUAAAAGAGGGGGUGCUGUGGUGUAGUGGGUAAAGCUGCCGCCUGUAGUGCCAGCAUCUCAUGUGGGCACCGGUUUGAGUCUUGGCUGCUCAACUUCUGAUCCAGCUCUCUGCUAUGGCCUGGGAAAACAGUAGAAGAUGGCCCAAGCCCUUGGGCCCCUGCAUCCAUGUGUGAGACCCAGAAGAAGCUCCUGGCUCCUGCCUUUGAAUCGGCACAGCUCCAGCCAUUGCAGCCAACUGGGGAGUGAACCAGCAGAUGGAAGACCUCUCUCUCUCUCUCUCUCUCUCUCUCUCUCUCUCUCUCUCUGCCUCUCCUUCUCUCUGUGUGUAACUCUGACUUUCAAGUAAAAUUAAAUAAAUCUUAAAAAAAAAAAAAAAAAAAGAGGUGGUGGUGUUGGGGAGGGAAUUUGGUGCAGCAGUAAAGACACUCAGAAUGCCACAUCCCUUACCAGAUACCUGGGUCCAAGGCUCGGGUCCACUUCCUAUUCCAGCUUUCUGCUAUCAUGCAUCCUUGGAGGUAGCAGGUGAUUCCACCCAUGUGGGAGAGCUGGACUGAGUUGAGUUCCAAGUUCCUGGCUUCUACCUGGACCAGCUCUCACUGUUGUGGCCAUGUAGAGUGAGCUAGUAGGUGGAAUCUCUCUCUCUCUCUUUCUCUCUCUCUUUCUAUUUCAAACACAUAAAACAAAUGAAUUUAAGACAUUUUGCUAAACAAAAAAUUCCAGCCAUCUCCCAUCAAGUGCGCACUGAGGACCAAGUUUCCAACAUGUGAAACUUUGAAGGACACCCUUAAACCACAUCCAAACCAGAGCCCUGAGUGCGUGCUCACUCUGAGAGCCCGUGGAAUCUUCCUCUUGCCCAUCUGCAUGAUAGGCUGAAGCGUGUGACCAAAAGACCACCAGUCUUAGAGCCAGUAGCUCCAGGUGAAGCUCCAGCUCCAUCCUGCCUAAGCUUUUGUCAUCUGGGCACACGGGCCUCAGUUUCUUCUUCUGAAGAAUGGGUGUAGUAAUAUUUACCAACUCAUCAAGAUGCUUGUAAGGAUAAAAGGAGAGUCUAGCUGUAAAAGAUCUUGUAGAAUCCAAGAUGUUGGGCGAAGUUAAAAAGGCAGUCUUCAGAAAUCUGACUCAGUAAGACACCCAACUGCCAAGCUAAGAUCGCUGUGCCCCUAGCUUUUUACCUUUUACUUCCAGCUAGUAAGAUUGUGUUUCACUUGCUGGUAGUCCAGCUGAAUCCCUGACCCCAGUCAGUGUCUCUGUUUUCUUUGUGGGGCGAGGCUGCCGUGUACCCUUAUGACCGCAAAAGGAGCAGAUUCUGUGAAUGCUACUUCAGAGGAAAGAAGGAAACAGUUCAAUCAUCUCACAGGAGUCUUCCAGGAUUGGGCCCCUGGAGACUCCACGGGCAGUGCCUCAGCCAUUCGAGGAGAAACCGUCUUCCCUGGAGUGUCUUUUGUCCCCGGCUUCCCUGGGUUUCUAGCACUGGGUGUGGGACUGCCCGUGGGGGCUUGCAGGGCAGGCCAGGACCGCAGGGUGUGUGGCGAAGCCACAGUGACAGCUGCAUCUGUGCUCCCGCAGUGGGUACCUGCUCGCUGUGCUCGGCCCCUCCAUGAGGAAGCACUUCAUCCGCUCCCAGAAAUCCCGCGUGCCUGUGACCUGCACGGCAAGGCCUGGAAGUUUGGCAGAAUCGAUAGGACUUCUCGCUGGGCUCGGCUACUUCAAAUGAGGAAAAAUAAGGAUGCCAAGGGUUAUGGCUUGUGAUACGCUCCCAUCAACAAGCUCUUUGGUCCUAACAACUGUGUGGUCCUGAGCCCCACGACAGAGGAGAAGCAGAGCUCGGAGCAGGGGCUGCUCUCAAGUCUCUGAGUGCAGUGCCCACCCUGUGGAGACCUUCCAAAGUCAGAGUCAGAGGUGGGGAAACUGAGGCCCACGGUGACGUACCGUGCACCCCAGCUCCCCUGGAAAGAAAGACUGAGCUGGCAUCGUCCUCUCCCUAACAUCACCCCAGAGCCCAUCUCUCUUCCUCUGCACCAGCGACUCUCAACCAAGGACCCUCUGGUCUUCCAGGGGGGUGUUUGGUACCAUCUGGGGCAUUUGGGGCUGUCACAGUGCAAGUGUGAGUGUGAGUGUGUGUGCACUCGUACAGAGGGGUGCUAGUGGCAUUUAGCGGGUGGAGGCUAGGCACACUGCUAAAUGCCACCCCCCCCCCAAAGCAACAGACAGCCCUGAACAAAGCAGCAUCGCACCGGAGCGGCAGGAGGACUGAGGUUUGAAAAGUCCUGGUUGUUGCUCAGCAUCAGAGGGAAAUUCCAUCCUCCAGCUGUUGCCAAGAGCUCCUCUGCCCAGCAACAGGCUUGGCCGCUCUCCCGGGGCGGCCACGAGAGUUAAGCCGCCGUCUCAGUGGCCAGGCAUCCCUGCAGAGUUUACUGUGGGCCACACCAUGCAUCCGCCGGGGGCCGAUGUGUUGUAUAAUUUAUAGUCACAGGGUGCCUGUCUUCAUUUAGCAGCAAGCCUGCUGGCAGGAAGCUAGUUCCGCAGAGGCCCGCAGCCCCCGCCGGCUGACAGCCGAGGUAUUUGGGGAUGGCGUGGCUCAGAGGCACCUGGGAACAGGCCGGGGGCCGAGAUGGCGCUGGGCACGCGGCCUCCGCUUCAGACCCAUCCGUCUGCCAGAAGAUGGCCUAUUGAACAUUUCCAGGAAUAGCACUGCCAACCCCGUCAACUGCUUUCUUGGAAAUGCACUCAAUAAGCAUGGCCGGCCUCCAGCAGGCAGAGCAGAAAUCACGGCCUGGAAGCGCCGGUGCAGGCCUGGGGCGCCAGGGCCCAGCUCCCAGGCCUGUGUCCCCGGCUGCCACUUGGAGAUGUUCUCGGUGAGGAAGGGGAGGCCCUGGCCCCUUGACCUUCACACACUAGCCCUGUCCGCUCAGAUGCCAGCAGGCAGCAGGGCGGCCUUGGUUUGGGUGCCAGGUAUGAACUGUCAGCAGUGGGACACCUCGGUGUCCCCUGGGGGAUUGGAAUCGCUCCUUCUCUUGUGAGUUUCCUUCCCUCUGGAACCAAAGGAGCCUCAGAAAGGACAGGGAGGGUGUUCUUCUCCCCCCACCCCCAGUCAUUGUGAGGACGUAGCAAAUGCGAAGCGAAGCUAUGAUAUGGAAGAAAGCUCUAAGGUCUAAUUCAUCCUCCCCGUGCCCUGUCGCCAGAGUGCCAGCGGCCUUCGCAGAAAGCCUCCCUCAGGAGGUAGGCAUUAGGCAAAAGCAGGAGACCCAAACCCCCUGCUGUGUGGGGUGUUCAGGAAGUGCAGUUCGUCAUGGUCUGAAAGCCCGCCAGUCACCACGUGUAGCUCGGAGCAACACCUAAUCCAGGAAGAACCUGCAGCCAAGGGAGGAGGAGGAGGAGAGGGGGAGGGGGGAGGAGGGAAAAGAGAGAAAGAGAAAACGGAGAAGAGCAAAUCUCAGGGAAAGGGAAAGAGCAGGAGAGAGAGGAGCAUGUUUCUUAUGUUUUUAUUUGUUUAUUUACUUUUACCUAUCUGAAAGAGAUCUCCCAUCUACCGGUUCACUCCCCAAAUGCCCAUGGCAGUCAGAGUGGUGGAAGGCCAAAGCCAGGAGCCAGGAACUCAGUCCAGGUCUCCCACAUGGGUAACAAGAGCCCAGGGACUUGAGCCAUCGUGGGCUGCCUGCCGGGGCGUACGGAGGCUGGGAGCUGGGGUGAGGAGUGGAGCCGGGACUGAGCCCAGGGCAUCCAGACACGGGGUGCAGGUGUCUCGAGCUGCGGCCUAACUGCGGCAGCAAACACCCAGCCCAGGAGCACUUCUAAAGGACUUGGUAAGUCAUGGCUGCUUCCUUGCAAACACUGCUUAGUCGGAGGACUGACCACCCUUCCUGGGUCUUCUGUCUGGUGCAAACCACAGUGGGCACCAGGGAGAAACGGGCCCACUUCUCUGGGUCCACUGGAACAGGGUGGUUACAUGAAGUUUAUAAGAAACUAUUGUUUGGUCUGAAAUCUGCACUAGUCCCAGCAGACCAAACCAGACCAGAAUGGAGUCACUCCUGCACAGUGCAGUCUAAUCAGACUGAAUUUUAAAAUGGGUCAGCCCGGCGCUGUGGCGUAGCGAGUAAAGCCGCCUGCAGUGCCGGCAUCCCAUAUGGGCGCCAAUUGGAGUGCCAGCUGCUCCACUUCCAAUCCAGCUCUCUGCUAUGGCCUGGGGAAGCAGUAGAAGAUGGCCCAAGUCCUUGGGCCCCUGCACCACAUGGGAGAGCCGGAAGAAGCUCCUGGCUCCUGGCUUCAGAUGGGCCCAGCUCCGGCCAUUGCGGCCAAUUGGGGAGUGAACCAGCGGAUGGAAGACCUCUCUCUUUCACUCUCUAUCUCUGCCUCUCUGUAAUUCUGCCUUUCAAAUAAACAAAUAAAUAUUAAAAAUAAAAUAAAAUAAAAUGGGCCAGCUUUCAAAAGCCAGGAGAUUUAUUGCACCCAAUAGAAAGAGGCCCUGUCUGGUAAGGAAUUCAUUGCUCCUGUAGACAAAAUAACUUUGAAAGAACCAAUCUGCUUCCUAUUCCUUGUUCUGCUUUCCUACCUGGGAAGCCCACCCUGCCUGCCCAAUUCAUGAAUUGCAAAUAAAAGGCAAUUCCAUCUUCAUACUCAGUUUGUUGAGGGUUUGUUCUUUGACUGGGUGAGACCAAAUCUAAGGCAGUAUCCAACUGCAGGUCUGAAGGCUCCUUCUACCCACCCCACCUCACUCAAGACACACGUAGCUGUCAUCCAUGGGUUGUGGAUUUUCUUUUUCUUUUCUUUCUUUUUUUUUUUUUUUUUUUUUUUUUUUUGACAGGCAGAGUGGACAGUGAGAGAGAGAGACAGAGAGAAAGGUCUUCCUUUGCCGUUGGUUCACCCUCCAAUGGCUGCUGUGGCUGGCGCACCGCGCUGCUCUGAAGGCAGGAGCCAGGUACUUAUCCUGGUCUCCUAUGGGGUGCAGGGCCCAAGGACUUGGGCCAUCCUCCACUGCACUCCCGGGCCACAGCAGAGAGCUGGCCUGGAAGAGGGGCAACUGGGACAGAAUCCGUCGCCCUGACCGGGACUAGAACCCGGGGUGCCGGCGCCACAAGGUGGAGGAUUAGCCUGUUGAGCCACAGCGCCAGCCUGAAUUGCGGAUUUUCAAAGAAUCGGAAUCUAAGCCGUGAAAUGGAUUUGGCUGCUGUUUUUCUGGGAGAUGUUUUGCUGUUGAGGACGAUGUAGAAAUGCUUCAGUACUCCUUGUGCCUCGGGGUCAAUGUGGUGAAAAGCAGGAGUCACUGCCGGAUCCGAUGUGCAGACAGCAGGACUUUCUUGAACUGUAAACACCCUUGUUCCCUAACAGUGGGAGGUCAGGGUGGCCUAAGCCAUGCAGAGCCUUGAUAGCCUUCCAUGGAGCAGGGUCGGGGGCUGGGUCUCUGGAAGAAAAGCCUGGAGCAGCUAGGCUUGCCGCCACUGUGUGUCCCGAAGAGUUGGUGACCUGGGCUGCAGAGCAGGUCUCCCAAGAAGAGCCUCGUGCAGAGCACAGCAGAAGUUCGAGCUGUCCACCCGGGACACUGCCAUCACACUGUGACCCUGACUGUGAAAACUUCAGCUUUGUCUCGAAGGCGGCAUCCCUGACUCCGUGGCUCGCUAGCCAUGUGACUUUGGGCAAGUUACUUAAUUUCUCAAUGCACCUGCAUCAUCUGUGUCCAAUUGGGAUAAAAAUAGGAUUCAUGGAGUUGCUGGGAGAUCUGAUGAGUUGCUAAGUGGGAAACACUUAGAAGCACGCCUGGCACGCGGUGACACUGUUUAAACCCUAGCACUAUCAGUGUUAUUAUUCUUCCCAUCCUUGUUGCUUCAGUUAUUUACAAGAUUCUGUGGCUUGAGGAGACAUCAACACUGCUUGUGGGAAGACACAGUGAGGGAAGCUGCUCCUUCUGCUCGUGCCUUCCGUUCACAAGUGAACCACCCUGCUUCAUUCAGGUGGAAGCAGACCAGGAAAUGGGUAUCCUGGACAGGGAGUGAGCUGUGGGGAGCCCUGGCCGUGAGGGAAUCUGCUGGUCCUUCACAUCCUUCAAGGCUCUGCUUGUUGAAGUUAAGUCUCUCAAUGAACAUCAUAAUAACAGAUAACACGUUCAACCAUCACUGCAUGUCAGGCAUUGGCCCAGCAGUUUCCAUAUCUUCCUUGACCUUCAGCUAAAAUUGUUGCCUUUGUUUUCACCAGAAGGGAAUAACUCAGUUCUUCCUGGUCAGUAAGAGGGGAGAGAGCUGAGUUUCAAACCCAGCAGACUAGCAAUGCCCUAGCCUGAGCUUGCAGAUUCUAUGUGGACACUUCUAUGUGUUUGUUUCAUAGUCUUUGUGGCUCAUACAUGGGUCAUUAUCCAGGCAGCAUUACAAUUUUUUAAAUAUUUAUCUGAGAGGUAUAUUUGGAGAGAGAGAGAGAGUUCCCAUUCACUGGUUCUUGUUCAUUCUCCAAGUGCUUGUGAUAGUCCCUGACUGGUGACCAGAACCAGAAACUUGAAAUCAAUCUAGACUUUCCAAAUGGGUUGCCAAGACCCAGUCACUUGAGCCAUCAGCACUGUCUCCCAGGGCCCCCAGCAGCAGGAUACUGGAGUCAGGAGCAGAGCUGGACACUGAACCCAGGAUGUGGACAUCUUGACUGACAUCUCAACUGCCAGGCCAAAUGCCCACCCUGCUUUCUGGAAUGUUUUCAACCCAAAGUUGGUUGAACUCAUGGAUAUGGAGAGCUGACUGUACCUGUUAAGAUUCCUGUGUCCCAUGUUGGAAUACUUGGAUUUGAAACCUGGCUUCACUCUUGACUCCAGCUUCCUGCUAAUGCAAACCCUAGGAGGCCACACCGACAGCUCAAGUGAUUGGGUUCCUGUUAUUCAUGUGGGAGAUCUGCAUUGAGUGAGUCUCUGGCUUCGAAACUGCCUGUCCCAGGGCCAUUUUGGGCACUUGGAGGAUGAACCAGUGGACAGGAACGCUCUCUCUCUCCCUCUCGCUCUCUGUCAACCUCUCAAAUAAUGUUAAACAAAGUAUUAGAAAAUGUUGUAUAUAUACUGAACAUGAAAAGACUUUUCUUGUCAUCAUUCCCAUAACUGUCAAACAAGACAGCAUAACAACUAUUUACAUAGCGUUUGUGUUGUAUUAGGUAUUAUAGGGAAUCUAGAGAUGAUGUAAGUAUAUGGGAGGGUGUGUGUGGGUCAGACGCAAAUCCUACAGUAUCUUACAUAAGGGACUUGAGUGUCUGCAGAUUUUAUGGUUACCUGUAAACAAGGUACAGGAGCUUCCUUAAAUCCUACCACUCAUCCUUAAGGAAAGAAUUACCCAAGAGAUUGCGUUUUUCUGAAUUUAUUCUCUACCUCUACUUGUUGGUGGUGACUAUGAGUCAGGCUAUACGGGUGAGACUUGAUGAUGGUGCGGUAGCCUUGAAAUCUCAGUGAUUUUUCACAACACAGAGGAUUCCUUUUCCCUUGCAGAAGGUCUAGGAAAGUUUUCUGUUUGUUUGUUUACCAUAUUUUGACUAUGGGAUCCAGGCUGCCUCUACCCACAGAUCAUGACAGGCACUGUGAGGUCACCCGCAAAGGAGCUGGGGGUGGUGGAGGAGGCUGCCCUGCCAAUUUCAAAGAGGAUGCUGGGGAGGGCCUUCUUGAGAAUGUGACCUUCGGCAGACGCUGAAAGAAUAUGCGAGAUCUUUGGAGGGGUGGAAAGUCUUCUGUGAACAGGAAGUAGCCUUGUGCAAAGGCCCUGAGGCAGGCGAGUGUCUGGCAUGUUGCCGUUCCGUGAAAAUGUCAAUGUGGGCCUGCGCCGCGGCUCACUAGGCUAAUCCUCCGCCUGCGGCGCCGGCAUACCGGGUUCUAGUCCUGGUCGGGGCGCCGGAUGCUGUCCCGGUUGCCCCUCUUCCAGGCCAGCUCUCUGCUGUGGCCAGGGAGUGCAGUGGAGGAUGGCCCAAGUGCUUGGGCCCUGCACCCCAUGGGAGACCAGGAAAAGCACCUGGCUCCUGCCAUCGGAUCAGCGCGGUGCGCCAGCCGCUGGAGGGUGAACCAACGGCAAAGGAAGACCUUUCUCUCUGUCUCUCUCUCUCUCUCUCACUGUCUAACUCUGCCUGUCAAAAAAAAAAAAAAUGUCAAUGUGGCUGAGAAGGAGGGUGACAGGAGGCGAAAUCAGGAAGCAGAUAAGUAUGGCAUGCACGGGCCCUGGAGCGUCCGGUAGCCUGGGCAAGGACUGUGAGUUUUGCCCCAGUUUAAAAACCUUCAUUGUGUCCCCCACCUGCCAGCACACUUACCAUGCUUCUCUCAGCUCCUCUGCAGCAGUGGAUUUCAAACGUGAGCAGCGCCAGAGUCACCAGGCUGUUAAAUCCAACUGCUGUGGUUCACUUCCAGAGUUUCCGCACUGGGGCCCAUGAAUCUGUGAUUCUAUCAGGAUCCUCGGUGCUAGAGUCUGAGUGUUCAUGUCCCCCUAUCCCCACCCCCAGGAUUGAGAUGUGGGAACCUAAUCCCCUAUAUGAUGGUAGCAGGAGGUGGGCCCUGCUCUCACGAAUGGAAUCAGUACCCUGCAAAAGAAGUCCCGUGAGGGCUGGCUGCCUUGCCGCCUCCCACCAUGUGAAUGUGCAGCAAGAACCAGGACGAGGGCCCUCACCGGACACCAAACCUGCUGCUCCUUGAUCAUAGACUUCCCAGCUUUCAGAACUGUGAACCGUAAGUGACUUUAAGCAGCAGGUCCUUAGAUUUUGUUCCAGCAGCCUGAGCGGCCCAGGAAGCAAGUGACGCUGGUGCUCCUGGCAUGGAGACCACACUUGGAGAGCCCCUGAUGUAGAGACAAGCUACACUUGUGCUUUCCCACUUCCCCAGGAAAACCUGCCCUGGUUCCUGGACAGGGCCACUGGGCCACUGCUAUGAUUGGGAUGCAGUUGGUGCCCCUACAAAGGUGCAUGGGCUGGAAGCUUGGUCCCUAGUGGUGGGAUCUUUAAAAGAUGGAGCCUGGUAAAUGAUGGGUAGGUCAGGGGGUACCACCCUCAGAAAGGAUUAAUACUGGCCUUUUGCAGUUAGUGCUUGCAAGCGUCACAUGUACACGUGGCUGUUUCAUUUCCUGCUUCUCUGUCAUUCUGUGAUGUGACCAGAUGGGGCCUAACCAGAGGCUGGACAGCCGGGACCACCUAAUGUUGGACUUUUAGACUCCCAAACUGUGAGCUAGGAGUGGACGUUUGUCACAGUGGCUAAGACAUCGCUUAGAAUGCCUGCAUCCCCCAUUGGAGUGCCUGGGUUCGAGUCGCUUCUGACUCCAGCUUCCUGCUAAUGUGCACCCUGGGAGGCAGCAGCUAAUGGCUCAGGCAGUUGGGUCCCUGCCACCUACAUGAGAGACUCAGAUCAAAUGCUGGGCUCCUGGCUUUAGCUUGGCCCAGCUCCAGCUGUUAUGGGCACUUGGGGAAUGAACCAACAGAGGGAAAAUCUCUUUCUGUUUCUGUAUCUUUCUAUGCCUUUCAAGUAAGUGAAAAUAAAAUUUAAAAAGUAGCUGGAAACUAAAUAAGCCUCCUUUCUUUGUAAUAUACCCGGUAGCUGAUACUCUGUUGCAGCCAGAUUCCUAAUUUGCAGGGCUUAGUCAAAAGGAAGAGGCAGCUCCUUAUUCCAAAAACAGGAGUAAGAGAGUAAUUAAAGGGACUAAAAUAUAAAGAUUUUCCUUUUAAAAUAUUUUAUGAUUUAUUUUCUUACUUAAAAAAAGAGUGAUAGUGAUAUCCAUCAUCUCGUACAGUGGCCCUUUAUUUUUGCAAUCAGAAUACCUAAAACCUACUCCCACCAAAUUUCCAGCCUACAAUACAGUCUUAGUUAACUGUGUCUUCAUGCUAAUGCCUGAAAUUCAUUAAUCCUACACGACUGUAGCUUUGGACUUGUUGACCUACAUCUUCCCAUUUCCUCUGGAAACCACCUUCUACUCUUCGUUUUCUAUGUAGUUGAUUCUCUUCUGUUUGCUUCCUGUCUUGUAAUAAAGUUUUAUUGGAACACAUCGACACUCAUUUGUUUACAUGCUGUCUAUGGCUGCUUUCCCACUGCAGUGGCAGGGCUGAGUAGUGGGACAAGGAAUGUUUGGCUCACAAAGCCUAAAACGCCUGCUAUCAGGCCCUCUACUGAAAGAUUGUGGACACUUGGCCCUGGACUCUCAGGUCCUGGACUGUCCUGUCCAGUGCUCUUUUGUGUUCUUGAUAUCUGGAGCAGUGCCUGGCAUAUGGAAAAUGCUCAUCAACACUUGUUGAAAAAAAAAGGUGAAUGCAUGAGAAUUUGGCAUUUUUGAAGAACUUAUUUAAUGGAAAGAAAAUCAUAGAAAUCUUAUGUUUGACCUUAUUUUUGUGCUGUUUUAGCAUAAAACAUGUUUAAAAUUCCUUACCUUACUAGGAAAUUGACUCUCCAAGGAAGCGUGAGGUUUGUAUUGUGACUUGGUGCAUCUGCUGGCACACUGCCACGCGUCUCAGACUGGAGGAGCACAGGCGCUAAAUCUGGGCAUUUGCCCUUCAGUAGAUGUUUACGGAGCAAAGCAUGGGCUUUGUGUGUGUGAUGGCAGUGGUUCCACUGUGCCUCACCCAGGAGACCUCUACAGAGUUCAUAGGCCAAAGAGAAGAAAACCUUGCAAGUAUAUAAUAUGUAAAAAUACCGAACUACGUGGUAAAGUUUCAAUUGCAGAAGAAAAGUUACUGGAGCAGGUGCUGUGGGCUUUCAGAGCCAGGACAGAUUCAUUUCAGCUGUGGAAUCGGGAAAGGCUGCUUGCCAGUCGUUCUCGGAUCUCAGUUCCUACCCUACUGCUUUGCUCUGCGUAGCGAAGACCUGUCCCCUGGCUGCCCUAUAGUUGUCUUCUACACUUCACCAGUGGGAGGUUAUGGGGGAGAGAUUGGAGGGCUGGAAGGCGGGAGGAACCAGGGUAUUUCUCCUUCUCUGUGAACCUCAGUUUUCUCACCUGUACAAUGGGGGGAAAAAACCUAGUGUAUAUUUCACAGGGUUUUUAUGAGAACUAAAUAAGACAUGCAAUAUGUUUAAUACAGAACCUGAUACAGGAGUAUGAUAAGCAGUCAAAGGAUAGAGCUGUUGUUGCUAUUGACCUUGCUCAGGUAAGUGGGAAGAGUGCAGUGAUCACUUAGUGAUGUCCACUAAGAGUGAAGUUUUGGAGAGUAGUCCCAUGUGAGAGAAAUAUCUACCAACCCUGAUAUUCUGCAACCGUAUUAUGGAGACUGAAUUGCUAGGACUUGGCAAAUGGGUUGACAGACUGUAGCAACAGGUUAGGAGGAAUCAAAAAACAGGGUCAAUGAUACCAAAAGCACAGAUAGUCAACACGUGAGAAAGAAUAGACUUGGAAGAGAUGGUUAUGAAGUCAUUUUUAGACAAUGCUGUUGAUCUUUGGGCUGCAAACAAGAAAACACAAUGAUAUACUCAGGACACUUCAGCAAGGAGGGUUUCUGACAGAGAUGCACAAAUGUGCAGAGAGUUAGCCAAGACAAACAUCUCAGCAGCCACACAGCCAGGCCUCAUGCGGAACUGGAAAGCUACCCCCAGAAACCAUAGCAACUCCAGUUACUGGAGCCUGGUUGCUUCUGAAGAGGAGAAACGAUUGUUCUUAGCAACUUUGCCUCACUCAAAAACUUUCUGUUCCCUCUUCUCCCCUCUUCCUGGUUUCUCCCUCCCUGCCUCUGUUUCUGAAGUCUUCUUCUCUGUGUCUUGCAUCCAAGAUGAUCGAACUGGGUGAUCAGCCCCCAGUAGGAAGCUUUCCAAUGGGAUCACGCUCCCAGGUCAGGUCGGACUCCCUAAGAGUUCCCUUAGGUGCAGCCUAGUUGGGUGCCUCUGUCUUGGCACAGCGGUUGUGCUCAGCACAGAAGUCACUGGAUGCAGAGUGACAAUGCCACCGUUCUCAGAAGGAGCUGUGCCAUCAGUUGAUUUCAUGGUCUGCUGUAUUUAUGGUGUAACAGAGACACAGUGGGAUCUCCACGAAGGUGAAAAGUGAGAUAGGGCUUCGAUUGGGAGCUCCAUGAGGCUAAAUAGGUAAGAAGGGGCUGGGAGGGGCUGGCAAUGUGGCUCAGCAGGUUAAGCUGCCGCCUGUGAUGCUGGGAUCCCAUGUGGGUGCUGGUUUGGGGCCUGAAUGUUCCACUUCCAAUCCAGCUCUGUGCUAAUGGCCUGGGAAAGCAGCGGAGGAUGGCCCAAGGAUUUGGGACCCUGUACCCACAUGGGAGACCCAGAAGAAAAUCCUGGCACCUGGCUUCGGCCCCCAAAAGGAAGAGGUUGUGGUUAAGGGAACAUUGAGGAUACUGCAGUAUUUCUGACAUUUUGUAUAAAUUUGCUGAUGCAAGAUCCAAACCCUUCCAAGAUUUAGGGCAAAGAAGCCAGAGAUUAUGAGCAGGAAGUUCUUAGAACAUACCCGGACGUUAGAUGAUUUCCACAGGCUAUACUGAUUUCUUAGGGGUGCAAAUUUGAAAUUGACUUGGAAGGGUGGGUCUUGUGGUGAGGUUGGAGUCUCCUUACAGCCUGGAGAGAGUGAAAUAUUCCACAGCUCAGCUAGAGAAAUAGGAGCAGCCAGGCCGGCGCCGCAGCUCACUAGGCUAAUCCUCCACCUGUGGCGCCGGCACACUGGGUUCUAGUCCCGGUCAGGGCACCGGAUUCUGUCCCGGUUGUCCCUCUUCCAGGCUAGCUCUGCUGUGUCCAGGGAGUGCAGUGGAGGAUGGCCCAAGUGCUUGGGCCCUGCACCCCAUAUUCCAAGGAUAGGUUGCUACAAGCUCACUUAUGUGGGUUUCUUUAAAAAUAAAGGGGGGAUGGCAAGUAAAAGCAAAACACUAACAUUUGGGAAAUCCAUCACUUAGAGAAACGGAGGGAAUGUAAGCAGCAGGUGCAUACUUGCUCUGAAAGUCCUAGAUGAGGACCUACGGGAAAACUCACCACAGCUGCAUGCAAGAGGUACUGUCUGCAUUUUUAAUCCUUGAGGGAGGAAUGCCCCAGCACUCGUAGAAUCAUUUAAACUCAAGAGUUACAAAUGCCACAGACAGCAUGGAAGGAGUGGAACAUUUUAAACAGGAAGCAUAGUCAUCAUCCCGCCCUCUAGCCACGCCCUCUACUACAGGAGGACCUGUGCAAUGCUAAUUCACAAGCACAUGCACUUUUUGUGGGACUGUCUUCAGUAGAUCUUGGGCUCAGCACACAGGCCUGUUGCAAGGGCUGAGGCUGCCCCAGCCCUUGGCCCCUGUGUGAACUGGCAAGUUACUGAGCUCGCUGGGUUUCAGUUUUCUCACCUGCGCAGUGGAGAUACUACUAGUACCUGCUGGAGGAUCAAAUGAGACAGCAUCCACAGAGUGCCUAGUCUGAUGCCUCCCACACCUUCAUUCAACUGUAACCGUUACGAUUUCCCAUCUUUAAAAUCAGAGAGUGCUGCAGCCAGGAAGACACCUCUUAGGAUGCCCGGAUAUCAGAGUGCCUAGGUUUGAGUCCUGGCUCUGCUCCUGAUUCCAGUUUCUUGCUAAUGCACACCCUGGGAGGCAGCAGUGAUGUUGCAAGUACUUAGGUCCCUGCUACCUACCCAUGUGGGAGACCCAGCUCAUGGCUCGGCCCAACCCUGGUUGCUGUGGGCAUUUCAAAUAUGUAAAAUAAAAAUAAAAUCAGGAAGCUUUGUAAUGGCAGUUUGCCUGAGAUGAUCAUAGUUCAAGUCCGUGUUUGUGUCUCCCAGUUUCCUUUCGCUGUUGUAGUGUGCGCAUGCGUCUGUCUCUCUUUCAAGCAGCUGCCCAAUUCCACCGGGUCCAAGGCGGAAGAAGUAACACACACACAACAGACGUUGAAAGAGCACCCAACACGUGCUCGGAGGACCGGCUCGUCCUAGGACUUGGGAAAACAAAGCGAUGGCAGCUGUUUCUAGAGAGGAGGCUGCAGUGCUCUGGCAAACAAAUUCCGUACAGCUGGGAAUUCUGUUUCUCAAGGCGGUUGCCUCGUGAGCGGAACUAUGUCUCCCCUCACCGCCAAUUCUCAGGUGAAAGCCUGAAGGUUAACUUCAGGGCCUCAGAAUGACUGCAUUUGGCGCUGAGUGCGUCAGAGGGAUGAUGAAGUCAAAAUCAUUUGUGCGGGCCUCAGGCCGGUCUGACUGAUUCCUUAUAAGAGGAGGAGACCCAGACACGCGAGAGGCAGACGCUGGGAGGAGAGACCGCGUGAGGAGGCCGCCAUCUGCAAGCCGAGAAGCGAUGCCUCUGGUGUAACCCACAGCUACAGACACCUUGAUCUUGAUCUUGGAUGCUAGCCUCCAGAACUGUGAGCAGACACAUUUCUGUUGUUUAGAGCACUCGGUCUGCGAUGGCAGCCCUAGAAAGCUAACCAGUUGCAUCACUCUUAACAGCUCGGAGGCAUGUUCAGGCUUGAACAGAAAGGAAACUUGAGCCACGCUUCGGGGUGCAUGAAGCUUAAAGGUGGUGUGGGAGGUAGAAUGAGCUGGACUCAAAAGUACAAGCAUCCUCUGAGUCCACGCUUAAGAAUUAUUACCUAGAGCAGCCAGAGCCAUGAAGACACAAUAGAGGCUGAUAGAGGGUGGGGGGGCAGUGCGGCGUUAUUGUUUCUUGAGGACAGCUGGGAAACUGUUGUGGAGAAGGAUUUUAGUGAUGUUUGCACAAGAAUGUCAAUGUGUUUAAUCUGCUGGACAUGUUUUAAUUUGAAAGCAAGAGAGACAAACGGAGGGAGAGAGUUGCCCCCCUACACACACAUACACACACACACACACACAGCCAAAGAUAGAAAUCGUCCAUUUGCUGGGCCAGGCUGAAGCCAGGAACUCCAUCCGGGUCUCCCACAUGGGUGAGGGGGACCCGAGUACUCAAGUCAUCACUUGCCUCCCAAGAUGGUUAUUAGCAGGAAUCAGGACUGGGAUUCAAACCUGGGUACUCGAAUAAGGGACACACGUGUCCCGGUUGGCAUCUUAACCACUAUGCCAUGUGCUCAGAGCGCAUUGAAACUUUUAAAGGUACUUAAAAAUGAUUACAAUGGGAGGCUUUAUGGGAUGGCUAUUGUACACAAUACAUUUUUAAGUAGUCUAUGGGGGCUCCCACUCUGCAUCAAGUUCCACCUCCCUGAACUCUUAGCUGAUUGAUUUUGCGGCAGAAAGGAAAAGGAUCGGAGGAGGAGGAGGAGGAGGAGGGAAGAAGGCAGAUGAGCCAGGACUUCCUGCCCUGUUCUGGGGGAGCACUGGCCCGCAUCUCCCUGGGCGAGUCCUGGUCCCACCUGCUCAAUGCACAGCAGCUGCAGACCCUCACUGCCCCUGUCGGUGACGACGAUUGAGAAUAUGAUUCCCACAUGCGACGCCCACGUCUUGAAGACUUUUUGUCUUAGGGCAUGUUCAUUUCCUAGCUUCUCUUGGGCCUUCUUAUCAUGUGCGGAAGUUUUUCCUCCACAGUAGCCAAAGCACGUUCCAGAUGCUUCCACAGCAAAACCCAUCAGAAGGCCUCCACGGCCGCCUCGAGUUUGCUGUAGUUCACCCAAGACCUGAGGUUUGUGCCCUUCCUGCUGAAGGGCUCCUGGAGACAUGGAGACAGGCCCACAUCCCCGCGUGUGGGAUUCCCAGGGGCUGGGGCAGGGACCAGUGGUGGUAGGAGAGAUCAAGUCCACUUCUUGGACAAGCCCUCAGAGAGCAUUUCUCCUUGGGAGAGGAUCCAACCAGAAACGAAUUGCUGAUAAGAAAGAGUAACUUUGCAGAAAGCCAUGGAAGAGUGUCCCACAGGCCAAGCUAGGAAAUUUGGGAGUCAAACAAUGAUGGAGGCAGGCAUUUGGCCAAGUAGUUAAGACACCCAAAUCCCCAAGCACCCAUGUCCUACUUGCCUGGCUCCAGCUCCCAACUCCAGCUUAUUACUAUUGUAGGCCCUUGGAGGCAGUGCUGAUGGCUUAACUAUUUGGGUCCCUGCUACCCACCUGAAUAGAUUUUUCUAGCUCCUGGCCACUGCCGGUAUUUGGGGGUGUGAACUAGGGGCUGGGCGCUUGUCCGUCUGUCUCAAACAAUGUAGAAACACACUGUAAAACAUUGACUAUAGUAGAAAGUCACGAGUCCAUGGAACUAAAUGAAUAACUUGAGAGUUUAAUGAAUAGGAUAUUGAAAUAUUUUAAACUAUUGCCCCACAAAAUCCUUAUUACAAAGAAUAACUUAGGUGGUAUAUCUUGCACGAGAAUUUUCGUAGAGAAUCUGGCAGAUGGUUCUUCUAGCAAGAGGUCAAAGGGGACCUUCUCGGUGGUGGGACAAGUUGAGCCCAGAUGCACCUGGUAGGAUACAGCAGGAGUACCCAUCAGCACCUAGGUGAUGGUCCUGCCAAAGACACACAGCCUCAGUCUAGUCAUGGAAACACACACGUGGACUUGGGGCCCUGGAUGACAAAGCCCCCAUGACACCUUCAAAAGUGCCAGGGACAUGAAAGACAUGAGAAGUAGUUCCAAACUGAAGGAAAUGCCAAGAUAGGCAACCAGCUGACUGCGACUUGGUUCUGGCCUGGAUCUUAGCUGUGCAUGACUGGGGUAACCGGCAUAACUCAGGUGGGAUCUGAGGAGUAGACAGCAAUGGUAUAAUGGCUUUUGUUUGUUUUUUUACUAGCUUUGAAGCCGGGAAGUGGUUUUAAAGGGACUUACUUUCCUUACCUGGCAGAAUCGCACAUAAUAGUAUAUGAUGGAGCCUCCAUUCAACAACUUACUCACUAGUGGGUUAGGGAAAAUAACCCAUUGCUCCUCUACUUUCCUUUAAGUGUCAUUUUGUUUCAAAAUUUAAAACUUGAAAAGGAAGGGGGGGAAUAGAAGGAAGAAUGGAUAGAAGCAGAACUCUGGAAAGAAGCCACGAUGGUCUCAGGUACAACCCGAGAUCUUCCUUGAACUUGAAUCGCCUCUCUGAAAACCCCUGUAGGGACUUGGGUGGGAGUGUGCUGAGGAGGUGGUGCAGGAAUCCACUGGAUGAGUUCGUCAUAACCUUGCUGUUCACGUAGAGGUGCUCGCAAUGACUUGAUGUGUCAUCUUUCAGGUGUGUAUGUGUAUACAUUUUUUAAAGAUUUCUUUAUUAGGCCGGCGCCAUGGCUCAAUAGGCUAAUCCUCCACCUGCGGUGCCAGCACACUGGGUUUUAGUCCCAGUCGGGGUGCCGGAUUCUGUCCCGGUUGCCCCUCUUCCAGGCCAGCUCUCUGCUGUGGCCAGGGAGUGCAGUGGAGGAUGGCCCAAGUGCUUGGGCCCUGCACCCCAUGGGAGACCAGGAUAAGUACCUGGCUCCUGCCAUCGGAUCAGUGCAGUGCGCCAGCCGCGGAGGCCAUUGGAGGGUGAACCAACGGCAAAAGGAAGACCUCUCUCUGUCUCUCUCUCUCACUGUCCACUCUGCCUGUCAAAAAAUCUUUUAUUUUUAAAUUUUUAUUUAUUAGAGUUACAUAGAAGGAGAGGCAGAGAGAGAGGUCUUCCAUCCGCUGGUUCACUCCCCAAAUGGCCACAAUAGCUGGAGCUGUGCUGAUCCAAAGCCAGGAGCCAGCAGCUUCUUCCAGGUCUCCGGUGCAGGCCCAAGGGCCAUCUUCCACUGCUUUCUCAGACCAUAGCAGAGAGCUGGAUCGGAAGUGGAGCGGCCGGGACUCGAACCGGUGCCCAUAUAGGAUGCAGGCACUGCAGGCGGCGUCUUUAGCCACUACGCCACGGUGCCAGCCCCGUGUGUAUAAACUUUUUAAACUGGACAUCAUCCUAUAUUCACUUUACCUCUAUGUUACGGGAUGAUCCUAUCUGCUUAAUGUACAGUAUCACUUUUAAGUGUUAGCUAAUACGAAUCCCAAUGGAUGCGAAUUGUAAUGAUUCAGUGUGCUCAUCACAGCUGAGCUUUGCUUUGAUCUCCUUAAUCCACCCUCCACACGCCAGCUUGCACCUCAGUUGGGAAUGGGAAAGGGAACACCUGCCAGGUUCUUGCUGGGAGAUCUUGAAUUGUUCCCCACUUUCCUCUAAACAUAGUAGGGCUAUGUGGGGAGAAAGCCUUGAAGUGCUUCAGGUCAGCCCCCUAAACAGGUGAGCUGGGGUCAAAUCCUGACUCUGCUCUUGGCUGCCGUGUGAGGCUGGGUGUGUCCCUUCACAUCUCUGUGCCUCAGUCUUCCCAUCCACAAGAUGGACGUGUGAUGAACAGCGCCUCUCUCACGAGGCCAGCGAAGGAUGAACAGACUGUAAAUAGCUGGUACGCGCGAAGAGCCUGCUGGUGGUGGCCAUUCAUGUGAGGAAUACAUGUAGGUGGCAGCUUCUGAGCUCUGGAAUGUCAGCAAAGACACCAAGUGGGGCAACCUUCCCCCCCAGGAGGGGAGCUGGGCCUCUGUGUUGUGGCAAGGAGUAAUUAUGAUGGAAAAAACAUUUUCCAAGGUCUGGAGCUGACGUGUAUUCCUUGUGACAUUUUAAUCUCUGAGUAAUAGAUUCCAUUGCCUGCAGAGCUGUGAUUUUUUUUUUUUUUCCAUUUAUUGCUUUUUCCUCUUCUCUCUCAAACCUGGAUUCUGCCUCCUCUCGGUUCCAGGCUGCCUCCAGUAACCCUCAACUGUUUUUGGACAGUCCCGAUUCCUGAGCCAGUUCUUUGGGCCCCAGCAGGAAACCCUGCCUUCCUUGGAGGGGAUCUACUGUGUGUUCCAGCAGUCACACCAUUCCCAUGCUUGCAUGAUGCACGAUUCUGCAGUGCAGAUACUGCAACAAACCCUGGGGUGGGGUAGGGUAGGGUAGAGGGGUCCCAUGCAUGCGCUUUGGAACUGGUGGGCUCAGGGCUAGCUUUGUCACUCACACAUGAACUUUAGAACCUUCACUUCUCUGAGGCUCAGUUUGCUCAUCUCUGAAAUGAAAGGCAUCAUCAGCGAUGACCUUCCAGGACUGCUGGAAGGUUGAGUUCCAUCAUGCAUGCAGAGCAUGUUGUACAAGCCCCUGGACACGAUACCUGCUUGGGAAAUGCUAUUUACAAUUACUCUUAUGAUUUGGGGUAGCAAAAACUAGAGCCUCAGGGUCGUUCUCGUUACUGGUCUAUUUUGCAGGCGAGGUAACCUUGACAUGCACAUUUGAAGCUUAGUCUUUGUCCUACGUGUACUGUGGUUCGCCCCUCGGAGGGCAAGACUGCCUUCUCCUUCCUGUCAUCAACUUUUUUUUUUAAUGAGGUGGACAAAUAAUUUUAUUUUGUGCAUGCAAAUACAUGUCAAGUAUUGUACACUUUUUCCAUCAGUUUUCUCACUGAAAAUCAUGACGCUCUGUCUUAUGAACGGCCAACACUAAUAUCUCUUCACCUCAGUGCUAUAGCAAAAACGCACAGAAUUCACUUUAAUUUUUGUGUGUGUAAUUUUGAAAAGGGAUGAUAAUUUUAUUAAAGACUGAGCCAUUUUACUUGAAAGUCAGUUACACAGAGAAGGAGAAGAAGAGAGAAAGUCUUCCAACUACUGGUUCACUCCCCAGAUGGCUAAAACAGCCAGAGCUGCACUGAUCUGAAGCCAGGAGCCCCAUCCAGGUCUCCCAUGCGGGUGCAGGGGCCCAAGGACCUGGGCCAUCCUCCACUGCCUUCUCAGGCCAUAGCGGAGAGCUGGAUAGGAAGUGGGGCAGCCAGGACUUGAACCAUUGCACAUAUAGGAUGCCAGCACUGCAGGCGGCAGCUUCACCUGCUACGCCACAGUGCCAGCCCCAGAAUUCACUCUUUAUUAUUCACUGUCCUCACAACCCUCAUGGUUGCAUCUCUGCCCUCCCCCACCCCCCACAUCUCCUGUCUUCUUAUAGUCACAGGAAUCUUAGGUGUGUGGUCACCCAGCUAAGACUACCUGUCCAGUCUUCCUUGGGGCUAGCUUUGGCUGUGUGACUGGUUUGGCUGGUAGAAUGCACACCAAAGUGACAUUUGAAGCUUCCUGGUUACAUCUUUACAAGGAAAGAGCCUGCUUUCCCUUGCUCCUUUAUCACUUGAAUUGACUGGACUUUUACAUAGUAGACUGUUAUCUUGUUGAAGCUGUUGUAUUUCCGGCUCUUUAUUACAGCAGCCAAACUUGCAAUGAGCGGGAGAGGGAGUAGCGAUUUCAGCAGAAGUGCGACUCAGUAGAGACCUGUUAGGAGACCUGUUUUCUGAUUGUCCUCCUCUACUUCCUGGCCCACACACUCAUUUGCUAUCUUAUUACAACAGCAUUUUGCCUCAACUGUACUAGAUACUAGCCACACAGGCAGUCUCCCACUUUUACAAUGGUUCAAUUUUGGGUUUUUUAACUUCACAAUGAUGGGAAAGAGAGACAUUCAGUGCAAACCCUGCUUUGCAUUUUAUUCUUUUCCAGGACUAGCAGUAAAAUUCUCUAGCAGUGCUCGAUGGUGGUGAGCUGCAGAUGCCAGUGUUGAGCUAAGUGAUGAGGUUUGGUAGUUAAAAGCACUAAAUGUGGAACUGGCAUUGUGGGGCAGUGGGUCAAGCCUCCGUCUGAUGCUGGCCUCCCAUGUGAGCCCUGUGUUGAAUCCCCACUGCUCCACUUGCAUUCCAAGUACUUGAGCCCCUGCUGCCCAUGUGGGAGAUCUGGAUGGAGUCCUAGGCUCCUGACCUUGGCCUGGCCCAGCCCUGGCUGCUUUGGCCAUUUGGAGAGUGAACCAGUGGAUGGAAGAUCAAUCUCUGUGUCUAGUCCGCCCCCCCCCCCCGCCCCGUUACUCUGCCUUUCAAGUAAACCUGUAAGUACUACAUGCAUUUUCAAGCGAAUGCUUUUUUUUUUUCUUUUUGACAGGCAGAGUGGACAGUGAGAGAGAGAGACAGAGAGAAAGGUCUUCCUUUGCCAUUGGUUCACCCUCCAAUGGCUGCCACGGCCGGCGCAAUGUGGCCGGUGCACUGCACUGAUCCAAAGGCAGGAGCCAGGUGCUUCUCCUGGUCUCCCAUGGGGUGCAGGGCCCAAGCACUUGGGCCAUUGUCCGCUGCACUCCCGGGCCAUAGCAGAGAGCUGGCCUGGAAGAGGGGCAACCGGGACAGAAUCCGGUGCCCCGACAGGGACUAGAACCCGGUGUGCUGGCGCCGCAAGGCGGAGGAUUAGCCUAUUGAGCCACGGCGCCGGCCGUGAAUGCUAUUUUCAACAGAUAAUGGACUUAUCAGGACAUAACCCCAUUGUAAUUGAGAAGCACCUGCAUCAAGAUGAAUAAAACAAUCCCAGAGCUUACCUGAUCCACCUGCCGUCUUGGUGUUACCAUGUUAGUCUUUGAGAAGAAAAUAUCCCCUAAGAGAGGAUAUGGGUUCCAUUCCAGAUGCAGGCCAGGGCUCUUAAAUAACUGCCUUAUAUGUCCAAAACAUUUAUGAAUUCCAGCAUGUGUUUCAAAUCUGUUAACACAGUGAGCAAAAUACUCAGAACUACUAGAAGUGCUAAGACACUUACUAGUUGUGAGUCCUUGGCAAGACAUUAAGCCUCAGCCCAGGUUGUCAAACAAGAGUGAUGCUACCUGGGGGGUUGACUUGGAAAGCGCACAUAAAGUGACAUUUUGGAGAUGCUCAAGUGCUGUUGAGGAUGACAGUGACAACAGUACUAACGAUGAUGGAGGAGGAGGCAUGGGCUUGAUUCUCCACUGUUCCGGAAAGUGGGUUAUGAUUGAAGUUGGCCAAGCCAGGCCCUCUGAGGGGUGGUCAUCACCAAUACUCUAAUAUGUACUAUGAGGGUCCAGGCUGUUAGAAACAUUUUUGAAAAAUGGUCACAUGACAGUGUGAAAUCUGUCAACAUUCUACAGCGUUCUGCCCUACCUGCCUUGUUCCUUCAAUCUGCUUUUGUUGUCCUUGCCCAGUUCCUGAUUGUUGGGGCAUUGCCACACUAAUGUAGUCCUAUGGAGUCUGGAGUUGUUGCUGUGGGUCACAUACGUGCCACGUGCUGGAGCCUGACUUGGAACAAAUACUUUUUCAUGGUAAUUUGGCAGAGUUAUGCUAAUGGACCAGUAUUGGUCCAUAACUUGGGACUGGAAUCUCCUAGUGAUAUUCUGGAUAAGUUUUUAUAAGGUCAAUAUACUUAUAUCACUACCUCCUAAGAAUGUCCAAGGCAUUGUAUUGUGAUAAUGCUCAUAAUACUGUGGUUUUAUGGAGAAGAUUCCCUGUGGCAGGCUCAGCAAUUGCAUGAAUUUUUCUGGUAAGGCAGACUUUUCACCUUUAUUUUAUAACUGCUAAUCAAGCUGAGGAAGCAAAUAUCUUUUCUCUAAGAUUUAUUUGAAAAGUAGAAAAGAAGAAUCUUCGAUCUGCUGGUUCACCCUCCAAAUGACCACAAUGGCCAGGGGUGGGCCUGGCCAAAGCCAGGAGCUUCUUCCAGGUCUCCCAAGUGAGUGCAGGGGUCCAAGGACCUGGGCCACCCUCUGCUGUUGUCCCAGGCAAAUUAUCAGGGAGCUGGAUUGGAAGUGGAGCAGCCAGGACUUGAACUAGCACCAGUAUGGGAUGCCAGCAUUGCAGGCAGCAGCUUAACCCUUACAACACAACAUGGGGAGUCAGAUGGGUUAAUACUCAGGGGAUCCCAAUGGGAUUUGGGGUGUAAAAUAUUUGCUUCUUGCCCUCAAACAUUAUCUUUAGCAGGAACAACAGGCCACCCUCCUUCCUUCCUUCUGAAUCUCCAAAUUUACUGUGAGAAUGGCAAGGGAGCUCCUCCUGACCUCAUAGCUUACUGUGAAAACACGUUAUCUGUCUGCAACACGUAGUUCGUCACCUGACCUUACCGUGUUUCCGGCUUGAGCUCUAACUGGUCUCCGUCCUCCCUCACAUCGGCCAGACAGGACAGAGAGUUAUGAGGUCUUCUGAUGGUUUCUGUCCCCACCUGGUAACUGAAUGCCAAUGUGAUUGUCGAAACUGUGCUUGAAGCUGACUGCCACCAGUUCCCUUUGGGUUUUCCUCUUGGAAGCCCCCUCCCACGCCACUCUGGCUGGAGAUCCUUGAUUCUAAUAAACACUUUUAAAUCUCUUUGCCAUCCGCUUGGAAAUUCUCCUUCCAUGUGAGACAAAGAACCAAGGUAACAAUAGUUUCUCCGCCGCCAUUUUCCCACUGUCCCAAAGCAAAUAUCUUGAAACCUGGAUGAAGCUCCUGGCUCCGGACUUUGGCCUGGCUCAACCCUGCCUGUUACGGCCACUUCGAAUGCACCAGUGGAUGGCAGAUCUGUGUAACUCUGCCUUUCAAAUAAAUAAAACUUAACAAAAAACCCCUGAUGGGAAAGCCAGGGAAGAGGAGACCAGUUAAGAACGCCUUAGGACUUAGGUGGGACUUAGGUAGGACUCGGACGUGUUGAGUGUGUGUGCCUGGUGGCUCGUCUGCAACACGUAGUUCGUCACCUGACCUUACCAUGUUUCCGGCUUGCUCUAACUGGUCUCUGUCCUCCCUCACAUCCUCCAACCUCAUAUUCCAUCCCCUGUAUCCUCUGAAUGCCCACGGUCUCUCGGCCCUAACACUGGGGAUGGCAGGGGAACACCGGAAACUGGAGAUGGUUACCCGUUUUCAAGGGUACAAGAAUGUGAAGAUGGCAGAAGAAUGCAUGCGGCCAGCUUUGGUCUCCAACGGUGAGCCUGGGCACCACUGACCAUUGGGCUUAAUGUUGUGACGCAACGCUAGGGGUGGUUAGCUGGAGAAAGGUGGAAUUCUCUUGUCUAUUUCCACAGGACUUCCUUGCCUAAAACCUUCAUGGCUUAAGUCCUCUCCAGAGCUUUGCCUGGCAGAGAAAAACUGAUUGACCUUGAAAUUUCUGAAUUACCUUCAUUCAGCCCUGGGAAAUGUGCCAUCUCUAUACCUUUAGUAUCAAGGUCUCUCUUUGUCUUAUCAGUAAAAUGCCAUAAAACAACAGUAAAAACUAUGACUCAUGUUCAAAACAAAUCUCAUGGUAUUAAAGAUAGGGAGGCAUGGGUUUUUUUAAUCCCUUGAGAGUAGAGAUAACACUAAUUAUUUCCUGUUUUCCAGGAAAGCAGGGUGAAGUUUGGGUAAGGUAAUGGGCACGGGACAAGUCGAAGCUUCUGAGUGCUGGGCCAGUUACCCUGAGCUUGGCAAGGGCUUGUUACAGAAAUGUCAAGACUUGCUUGAGAUGGUCCACAGGUGGGAGUCGCUCUGAGGGCACUGGGAGGAGUCGGCGGCCUAGACCAGCUCUCUCCCUUGGCUUCUGAGAAAGAUGUUGUAUAAAGAGGCAGUGUUCAGGAAAGCUACCAGGGAGAGAUUUCUGACUAUUUGACAAGGCCUUUAAAUUCUAAACCAUCUCCACUAUAGAUUGACCAGUUAUCUUUGCGGAACUGCCCAAUGUGAAUUAAUGUGGAGUCUUUAAUUACCAGAAGGAGAGUCUGAUUGACUUAAGCUCACCCACUGGCACAUUAACUGAGUCUUGCUGAGACUGAAUGUGUUGGAAGAGAAAUGAUCCACAGAGAUAUUGAAAGGCUAUUACUAAAAAUAAAGAGAUGGGGGCACUAUAUUCCUCACUUUGUAAGAUACAGGUAUUGCAUUGUCAUUCCUUCAUUUCUAACUUCUCUCAAUUGAAUUUAUAAUUUUAUACUAAUAGAAUCCAUGUUUAUUCUUCACAUGUUUUAGCUUUCAGCUGAUUUUCACAAUUGAACAUCAUCAGUCUUUACAGUAGCCCUGCUUUUCUGAAGAGAAGAGUAGUAUGCUAUGAUACACUAGCCUUCCUGAGGCUUUUGAUUUUGCUUGGAUUUCUUUUUAAAGAUUUUAUUUAUUUGAAAGUUAGAGGUAGAGACAGAUCUUCCAUCCGCUGGUUCACUCCCCAGAUGGCUGCAGUGGCUGGAGCUGUGCCGAUCCGGAGCCCGGAGCCAGGAGCCAGGAGCUGCUUCUGGGUUUCCCACAUGGGCACAGGGGCCCAAGCACUUGGGCCAUCCUCUGCUUUCCCAGGCCAUAGCAGAGAGCUGGAUCAGAAGAGGAGCAGCCAGGACUAGAACCGGCGCCCAUAUGGGAUGCUGGUACUUCAGGCCAGGGCUUUAACCCGCUGCGCCACAGCGCGGCCCCUUCCUGGGAUUUCUAAUUGCCUUGAUGUUUGUGUUGUCUGUUCAUCAUGUGCUUAUGCUUCUAAAGUGUCUGAAGCAAACCGCCUAGUUUAUGGAAGCUAUUUGCUCUCCAGAACCUGCCUUUUGGAACUCCCCACCUCACGCCUUCUGGGGCUGGUAGUUGGUGAUACUUUCUUUUCAGCUCUCCUCUGAGUUGAGCACUCAUCACCGAGUCUCACGAUUUCUGAAUCUGCACAUCUUUCCAAGUGAGCGCCUCCAGUUAGAGGACGGAGGAAAUGAACAUUGAGUCCUUUGACUAAAUCUGCUGUGCUUCUAUUACUUGAUGACAUUUUGCCUGGGAUAAAAUUGUAAUCAAAGUUUUUUUUUUUUUCCUUUUUAAAUACUUGAUUCAAUUUUCUUUAAGCUCUGAGUGUUGCUAUUGAAGUCUGUUUAUUGUUCGUUCUAAAAGUUGUCUGAGAAAUUUUCCGCCAUGGGAUAUUCGUUUGUAUUUUCUUUCUCUCCUUUGUUUUCCCUCUUGGAACUUCUGUUAGUCAGAUGUUGGAUCUUCUGCAUCAGUUCUCUGUAGUGUUUAUUUUCCUCUCUGAUUUCUGUCUCUUGACUGUUCAGCUGGAGUUGUUCCUCAGCUUUGUCUUCCCAGCUGUCAGAGUUUCAUUUUCACGAUCAUUUCGCGUACCAGGGGAUUCCAAUUCAAUCCCAUAGAGGUGGCAUGUACCAAUGCCAUCUCACUGUUCCAAGUGAUCAGUUUCAGUUCACAGUUGGUCAUGGUGGAGGGACUGGGAGUCAAAGGGAGCACAUAGACAAGUCUAGUACCUGCGAACGCUAACCGAUGGAGUAAAUAAAGGGGAGAGUGAUCCAACAUGGGAAGUGAGAUACUCAGCAGACUCAUAGAAUGGCAGAUGUCCUAAAUAGCACUCUGGCCUCAGAAUCAGCCCUAAAGGCAUUCGGAGCUGGCUGAAAAGCUCAUGAGAGUAUUUCAGGCAUGGAAAGCCAAGACACUCUGGCAAAAGAUCUCUGCGAGUGAGAUCCCAGUGGAAAGAACAGGUCAUCAAAGAAGGAGGUACCUUUCUCUGAAGGGAGGAGAGAACCUCCACUUUGACUAUGACCUUGUCUAAACAAGAUAAGAGUCGGAGAACUCAGAGGGCUUCCAUAGCCUUGGCAGCUCAUGACUGGAGCAUAGGGAGAUUACUGAUGCCAUAGACAGGAGUGUCAAUUUGUAAAGUCAACAACAGGAGUCACUGUGCACUUACUCCUCAUGUAGGAUCUCUAUCCUUAAUGUGCUGUACAUUGAGAUUUAAUGCUAUAACGAGUACUCAAACAAUAUAUUUCACUUUGUGUUUCUAUGGGGGUACAAACUGUUGAAAUCCUUACUUAAUGCAUACUAAACUGAUCCUCUGUAAAAAUUUCUUUUUUUCUUUUUUUUUUUUUAAUCAAUUCCCAACUUGACUCUCACUGGGAUUAAACAUGACAGUAGGUCUGCUCUGAUUUCAUCAUCAUUUAAAAAAAUCAUCUAUUUUUCACUUUAUGUUUCUGUGUGGGAGCAAACUGUUGAAAUCCAUACUUGAUGUAUACUAAGCUGAUCUUCUGUAUAUUAAGAUAAUCAAAAAUGAAUCUUGAUGUGAAUGGAAGGGGAGAGG